This 429-nucleotide ribosomal RNA is filed under the name Fusobacteriota bacterium. RNAcentral's name for it is "Fusobacteria bacterium partial 16S ribosomal RNA". It matches the Rfam family "Bacterial small subunit ribosomal RNA", at positions 355 to 776 of the family's 1533-position model. Lineage: Bacteria; Fusobacteriati; Fusobacteriota. The record is from RNAcentral.
UGGGGAAUAUUGCGCAAUGGGCGAAAGCCUGCCGCAGCGACGCCGCGUGAGGGAUGAAGGUUUUCGGAUCGUAAACCUCUGUCAGAAGGGAAGAAACCGCACUGUGCUAAUCAGCAGUGCCUUGACGGUACCUUCAAAGGAAGCACCGGCUAACUCCGUGCCAGCAGCCGCGGUAAUACGGAGGGUGCAAGCGUUAAUCGGAAUUACUGGGCGUAAAGCGCACGUAGGCUGCUUUGUAAGUCAGGGGUGAAAUCCCACGGCUCAACCGUGGAACUGCCUUUGAUACUGCUUAGCUUGAAUCCGGGAGAGGGUGGCGGAAUUCCAGGUGUAGGAGUGAAAUCCGUAGAUAUCUGGAGGAACAUCAGUAGCGAAGGCGGCCACCUGGACCGGUAUUGACGCUGAGGUGCGAAAGCGUGGGGAGCAAACAGG